Rhodamnia argentea is the source of this 4617-nucleotide RNA transcript. It is a transcript of the gene named disease resistance protein RPV1-like, with no coding region annotated. The transcript has 9 exons. The record is from RefSeq and is a predicted model, not a curated record. NCBI's taxonomy places the organism in Eukaryota, Viridiplantae, Streptophyta, Magnoliopsida, Myrtales, Myrtaceae.
AGCGACGCUAUAAAUUUGGCAAAGAGAUAAUCCAGUAAUCAUUUUCCUGCUCAAACCUAUCAGUAGUAAUCGAGUCUCUGAGAGAGAGAGAGAGAGAGAGAGAGAGUGCACUGCAAUGGAAGAUCAACCCAAGCAAUCGAGUUUGUCCGUCCCUGGAGCCUCUAGUUCCUCCACCUCAACAGAAAGAAGUGAUUCCGGGCCACCUGCUUCCGACGACAUCGGGCAGGAGACGUCGGAUCAACAGCAACAGGUACUUUCCCCCCGCCAUGAAAGAGCAAAAGGAAAGGCCCCCUUUGAUUCCUUGGAACCUGCAAUGGAAGAUCGACAACCCAAGCAAGCUAAAUUGAUUGAAGCUUCGAGUUCGUCCAUCUCUGUGAUUGUGAACAAUUACUACAUAUUCUUGAGCUUUAGAGGCGCUGACACUCGCAAUGGCUUCGUCGAUCACCUCUACCAUAAACUCCAAGAGGUGGGCCUGCCGCUCCAUCCAAACUUCGAGUUGAAAGAUGAGAACGACCAUCCCUGGGACUUGGACUUUGGUAAAAAGCUUAUCAGUGCAAUCAGGCACUCUAAAGUUUCAAUCCCAGUCAUCUCGGAAACGUAUGCAGCUAGCGAAUUGUGCCUCCGUGAGCUCAUUGAGAUAAUGGCGUGCAAGAAAACCGGGGGACAAAUAGUCUUGCCCGUGUUUUACAAGGUGAAACCCCAUGAGGUGCGAGACCUGGAGGGGGCCUUUGGAGAGGCUUUCAGAUCCCGUAGGCAAUGUUUUGAGUGGGAGGAUGUCGAGCAAAAAGGGCCGGAAGCACUCCAAGAAGUAGUUGAUUCUAGAACAUUUGAAUCAGAGAAACUUACGAGAGGGCGUGAGGCAGAAUUAGUGAAUAAACUCAUAGAAAGAAUAAGGCUCGAGCAGCAACAUGAUUCUCAACCACAUCUUCCCGUCAACUCAGUUGAAAUUGAGGAUACUGAAGUCUCUAGAUCCUCGACCUCACCAGAAGGAAGUAAUUCUGGGCCAUCUGCUUCGUCCACCUCUGUGAUUGGAAACAAUUACUACAUAUUCUUGAGCUUCAGAGGCCCUGAUACUCGCAGUGGCUUCGUGGAUCACCUCUACCAUAGACUCCAAAAUGUCGGCCUGAAGUUCCAUCCAAACUUCGUGUUCAGAGAUGAUAAUGACCUCGCCUUCGGCAAGGACAUUGGUAACAAUCUUACCAGUGCAAUCAAGCAGUCUAAAUUUUUACUCCCAGUUAUCUCAGAAAAGUAUGCUUCCAGCGAAUGGUGCCUCCGCGAGCUCAUUGACAUAAUGGACUGCAAGGAAUCCAAUGAACAAAUAAUCUUGCCCGUGUUUUACAAGGUGAAACCCUAUGAGGUGCGAGAACUAAUGGGGAACUUUGGAAAGGCCUUCGAAGAAAGAAAGCAUCGCUUUAAGAUGGAGGAUGUCAAGGAAAAAGGGCCGGAAGCGCUCAGAAAAGUAGCUGAUUUAAGAACAUUCGAAUCAGAGAAAUUUGAAAGCGGGCACGAAGGGAAAUUAGUAGAAGAACUCGUAAAAAUAAUAACAGACGAGCUGCGACGUGAUUUUCCACACCCUCUUCCUGCGGACUUGGUUGGAUUCGAUAAUCAUGUGGCUGAGGUUACGAGAUUGGCAGAUACUGCUUCUUCCGAAGUUCAAAAUAUUGUGAUUUAUGGAAUUGGUGGCAUCGGUAAGACAACUCUAGCUACGCACGUCUAUCAUAAGCUUUUGGACGAUUUUAAAUACCACAGCUUUAUCAAGGAUACAAGAGAAACAAUUCAAAGCAAGGGCAUAGUGCAUGUUCAAUCUCGACUAUUGUCAGAUAUGACAGAUACUAUUGUUACAGUGCCUGAUCCCGAUAGAGGGAUCAACAUGAUACGAGCAGCUUGUGCUAAGAAAGUACUUAUUCUUCUUGAUGACGUGGCUUGUCAAGACCACAUCGAUAAAUUGAUUGGAGGCUGUAAUUUUGGGGCAGGAAGUAGGAUCAUUAUUACAUGUCGAGAUAAGGAUCUCUUGAAGCCUGAAUACAAAGGGUAUGAACUCACAGAAAUGAAUAUGCAAGACGCUUUGCUUCUGUUUAGGAAAUAUGCAUUCAAAGGGGAACAAACUCCAAUAGAACUCGUCACUCUUUCUAGUGAUAUUGUUGCCACCACAGGAAGGAUUCCCCUAGCUCUCGUGAUUAUAGGUUCAUUUCUCAAUAGAAAAGAUAAAAGCAUAUGGACAGAGACGCUGGAGAAAUUGAAGAAGGUGCCUCAUAUUGACGUACAACAAAAGUUGAGGAUAAGUUACGAAUCAUUAGGAUAUGAGGAACAGCAAAUGUUUCUAGACAUAGCAUGCUUUUUCAUUGGAAUUGACAAAAGAAUUGUUGCCUAUCUGUGGAAGGAUCUUCAUUAUCGCGUAGAUUCCGGAUUCAAAAGAAUGAUGGAACUUUCGUUAAUGAAAGUUGAUGAUAACAAUGAGUUGAGAAUGCAUGAUCACUUAAGAGAUCUAGGUAGAGCUAUUGCUCGUCCAGCACAUAAAAAGCUUUGGAAAUGUAGCAGACUAUGGGACGAGGAAGCCAUAACUGUUCAACGAAGCGAGAUGGAGAGGUUGAAAGUUCUUAAUCUUUCAAAGUGCUCAGCUUUGGAGAGCACUCCUAAACUCUCUAAGUUUCAAAGUCUAGAGAUGCUAAUCCUGGAAAAUUGCGACAGUUUGGCAGAAAUCGACCCUUCCAUCGGAGAUGUCAAGCGCCUCGUUUCCUUGAACUUGAGGUAUUGUGGGAGUCUUCAGGUGUUACCGGCACAACUAGGCGAACUAAGAGAAUUGGAGGAACUUCUCGUAGACGAGACUGAUAUACAAGAAAUCCCUGAGUGUAUAGGAUCUCUGGUGAAGCUGAAGACGCUUAGUGCCGUGGGUUGCCGUCUACUGACUCGAGUUCCCAGCUCACUACGGCAUCUGGUAAAUUUGUUGACCCUGAACAUGAAAAACUGUAAAAUUUUGCCACAACUUCUGGACUCCUUCCAGGCCCUUGGGGGACUGCAGCGCUUGUCGUUAGAGUAUUGCUGCAAGUUGGGACGGAUCCCUCCUUCAAUUGCGAAGUUGGGAGAGUUGUUUGAGCUGGACUUGUCACAUACAAUUAUUGACGAACUACCCGAAUCCAUGGGGGAAUUGAAGAAAUUGAAAAUUCUGAGGAUUUCCCAUAGUAAGAUUAAAAAGUUGCCGAGGGCCAUUGGAGAAUUGAAAAGCCUCCAAGAGUUGCAUGCCUCAGGCUGCUCUGAACUGGAAGGACAAAUUCCUCGAGAAAUAAGUGGAUUGUCUUCUCUAAAGACCCUUCGUUUAGGUGGAAAAAAGAUUUCUGGCUUGCCGGAAAACUUCCGUGAGCUUUCUUCUCUCGAGAACCUCAAUUUACUUGGCUGUGAGCAGCUUCAGUCACUGCCAGAACCUCCUUCCCGCUUAUCAUCCCUGCAGCUCACCUGCCGGAGCGACAAGCUGCCGUCGCUCUCUCACCUAACGCAUCUGAAGGAGCUCACUCUUGACUCUUGCAUGUCUCUUCAAAGCAUCCCGGAGCUUCCCUCCUGCAUCUGGAAGCUCCGCGUUCAGAUGUGUCCCAAUUUGGAAAAGUUGUCGAUUCUUCCCGAGUGGAAUUCCUUGUCCGAGUUAGAGCUCUUGCAGUGCUACGGGCUGAAGGAACUGGAUGGUCUGGAAGCUUUAACAUCCCUAAGAAUGUUGAACCUAUCCAUAAGCACAGACUUGUCCGACGUCAACAACUUUGACAAUUUAGAUCGGGUGAGUUCCUCGGACACGCGCAGCUUCGUUUUUAAAAAGGUGGAUAAUCUCCAUGUGAUAGGAGGCCUUGAAAAAUUGGGAUCCCUGGAAGUGUUGAAUAUCUGUGAGCGCAAACACAUUGCACGACUGAACCUUUCAAAGUCGGAGCAUCUGAGGCAAUUGAUUGUUAAUAAUUGCCAAAGGUUAAUUGAAAUUCGCUUCCAUGACAAGAUAGAAUCCCUGGAACGCUUUGAGAGGGAUGGGUGCCCGCCACAAAUCACCACUCUUCAGCACUCGACAGGUCAUCGGAUAGCAUGCGAAAGUUAGGUUUUAUAUUUGAUAGUACUGGAAUACAAUUUGAGGGGAGCAACACCGAAAACAUUGAGCUGAGGAUUUUUUUUGUCGUGUUAUGAUUGGGGUUAUGAUGAGAAUAGAAAAGAUCAGGAUGACUCCAAAAGUGUAUUAGAUGUCUUCAGUCAAAUAGUAAGAGAUUCUUCAUCCUCGACAUGGUAUCAAUCUGCGCUUGUGUAUGCAAAUUAACACUUUUCUCCUACUUCUAUUGAAGUUGGUGUUCUUUCGAUAUGUGGUUGUCCCAUUUAUGCAGAAGGAUUCUGGAAACUGCUCGUGCAUUAGUGAUUAUUGAUUGCGUUUUAGUCAUUUGUUAUUUUGUCAUGGACAUUAAUGUUAAGAUGAUGAAUCUCCAUGGAUGUAUAUAAACUUUGCUGAUCACUUGAUAUGCCAACAUGAAGAUUGCUCUCUCCGAGGGAAGACAUAUGGCCUUGAUCAUGCUGAAAGCAUUAUUAUCAACGGUAGAAAACCCCGUUGAAAUCAUGUAGCCACUCUUUCCUUGUUUUACUUCAUGCCUUUACUAAUCA